AUUGAACGCUGGCGGCAGGCCUAACACAUGCAAGUCGAGCGGAUGAAGGGAGCUUGCUCUCUGAUUCAGCGGCGGACGGGUGAGUAAUGCCUAGGAAUCUGCCUGGUAGUGGGGGGACAACGUUUCGAAAGGAACGCUAAUACCGCAUACGUCCUACGGGAGAAAGCAGGGGACCUUCGGGCCUUGCGCUAUCAGAUGAGCCUAGGUCGGAUUAGCUAGUUGGUGAGGUAAUGGCUCACCAAGGCGACGAUCCGUAACUGGACUGAGAGGAUGAUCAGUCACACUGGAACUGAGACACGGUCCAGACUCCUACGGGAGGCAGCAGUGGGGAAUAUUGGACAAUGGGCGAAGCCUGAUCAGCCAUGCCGCGUGUGUGAAGAAGGUCUUCGGA
Molecule: ribosomal RNA, 391 nt
Filed under: uncultured bacterium
Lineage: Bacteria
Description: bacterial SSU rRNA
Rfam family: Bacterial small subunit ribosomal RNA
Source: RNAcentral